AAGAGAGAGAAAGGAGAAAAUAGAACCCUAGCCAAGAAAUUUAAAGGGAAAAUUGGUGAAAAUUCAAAAAUCAAGUGAAAAAAAAGAUAACACUUCUUAAAAUUGUCUUGUGCUUUACCUUUCCCAUGCAUUUCCCAUCAUUUUCCAUGGUUGAAUCAUGUGAUUUGAGGAUGAUUUCAAUUCUGGUCAUAUGGGUUUAGAGAGAGAAUGUCACAACUCGGAACUCCCAUCGAGCCCGUGACAAUCGCCGCGACGUCUCGAUAGGCACUCAUUACCCCGAAUGUCGAUCGAAACCCCGCAAGGCUUAGC
This 309-nucleotide long non-coding RNA is filed under the name Theobroma cacao (cacao). RNAcentral's name for it is "long non-coding RNA (TCAC_LNC001756)". Lineage: Eukaryota; Viridiplantae; Streptophyta; Magnoliopsida; Malvales; Malvaceae. The record is from RNAcentral.